This 257-nucleotide ribosomal RNA is filed under the name Yersinia sp. 2105 StPb PI. Its description in RNAcentral is "partial 16S ribosomal RNA". It matches the Rfam family "Bacterial small subunit ribosomal RNA", at positions 1 to 254 of the family's 1533-position model. The record is from RNAcentral. Lineage: Bacteria; Pseudomonadati; Pseudomonadota; Gammaproteobacteria; Enterobacterales; Yersiniaceae.
AAAUUGAAGAGUUUGAUCAUGGCUCAGAUUGAACGCUGGCGGCAGGCCUAACACAUGCAAGUCGAGCGGCAGCGGAAAGUAGCUUGCUACUUUGCCGGCGAGCGGCGGACGGGUGAGUAAUGUCUGGGAAACUGCCUGAUGGAGGGGGAUAACUACUGGAAACGGUAGCUAAUACCGCAUGACCUCGAAAGAGCAAAGUGGGGGACCUUCGGGCCUCACGCCAUCGGAUGUGCCCAGAUGGGAUUAGCUAGUAGGUG